This 3199-nucleotide long non-coding RNA is filed under the name Sus scrofa (pig). Its description in RNAcentral is "lncRNA (ENSSSCG00000060907.1)". Lineage: Eukaryota; Metazoa; Chordata; Mammalia; Artiodactyla; Suidae. The record is from RNAcentral.
UUUUUCUUUUUUUGGCUUUUUAGAGCUGCACCCAUGACAUAUCGAAGUUCCCAGGCUAGGGGUGGAAUCCGAGCUGUAGCUGCUGGCCUACGCCCCAGCCACAGCCACACAGCAUCCUAGCUGCUUUUGCAACAUGCACCAGAGCUCACGGCAACGCCAGGUUCCUGAGCGAGGCCAGGGAUCGAACCUGCAUCCUCAAGGAUGCUAGUCAGAGUCCUUUCUGCUGCGCCACAAUGGGAACUCCUACAGCAAAUCAUUCUUGAAGGAAGACACGCAUUUGUCCGAUCAGAAAACCUUUUUCCUUCAACUUGAAAGGGAACUUCUCCACUCUGGCCACAAGAGGGAGCCCAAGAUGCAAGUUAAUUCUUGGCAUCCCCAGUUUGGCGGCGGGGGUGGGGGGUCGGGGAUGUCUCAGGUCCUGAGCCUCUGGGACAAGGGCCACGUGAACCGCGACCACAUCCAUUCUUUCUGCUUGGGGAGCCCCCACCUUCCCGUCCUUACUGGGGGAUAAAAAUGCCUGGAAUGAGCUGCUCUGAAGAGCCAAAGAGACAAAAAUGCAUGACCUUGAAGGAGACUUAAGGUGAUUGCCUGUGUUUACACUCAUCAAAUGACAGAUAUUUUAAAAACCUGCACAUGUUUAAUGUGCAUCAAUUAUACCUCAAUAAGCUGUUAAUAAAGAAAUUUAAUAUUACCUUGAACAAUGUCGGGGAGGGGGAAAAUUUCCCCUGUACCCUCCGGACUAAUAAUAAAAUAGAUGAACAGGAGGAACCUAAGUUUUAAUUAGUUUGCACAGAGGUCUCAUAGAAAUAGGACCUAAGAAGUGGUCAAAGCAGACAGGUUUUAUACUUUUUAGACAAAGAAUAACUUGGUGAGGAAUUGAUGGAGCAAAGAAAGGUAGGCUUUAGGAUGUUUCAUCAGUGAAGAAUCUAGCGUGUUUGGGCUUGGGUAGUAAAUUAAAGAAAUAAUGAGGCUUAGUUAUAGAAGUGAUGAUACAGGCUUCUUGUCUCUGAAUUCCCAGUCUCUGGGCAUAAGGGUGUCCUACCUCCAGGUCUUUUUAUUUUGUAUUUUUAGGGCCUCACCUGCUGCACAUGGACGCUCCCAGGCUAGGGGUCGAAUUGGAGCUGCACCUGCCGGCCUCCACCAUAGCCACAGCAAUUUGGGACCUGGGCCACAUCUGUGACCUACACCACAGCUCACAGCAACAUGGGAACCUUAACCCACCGAGCGGGGCCGGGGAUUGCACCUGCAUUCUCAUGGAUACUAGUGGGGUUCACUACCGCUGAGCCACAACGGGAACUCCCUACCUCCAGAUUCUAUGAGAGAUUUCUUUCUCAGUUUCAGGGGGCCAAAGGAAGGUCAGCGUUUCCUUCUCAAUCAACGUCAACUCAAAGUAUUCCGUAUGUCCCCCUGUGGCGUAUUUUGAGGCAGCCGUCCUGAGCCCCACAACCACAGUACAAAUCCAGCAACAACACAAAUCCAUGUAGCUCGCACAGGAACCAUGAACAUCCAAACAGAAUCCAAAAAAAUAAAUAAAUAAUGAACUAAAAGGGACAAUAAUUCCAUCUCAUGAGGCAGCGACGUGCACAUCCCAAUAUAGCAAGAAAAAAAGAGAUGUUUGCCAAAGGGACAGACAAUGAUGCCGUCUCACAAGGCAGCAAUGUGCUUUAGAAAAAGCUCACCGACUGUCUAUUGUUGGCAGAGAAGGAAGCUUGCUCGUAAGUGUCAUCAGGCAGCAGUCGUGACCGCGUCUGCGUAUCAGUGAGUAGGAAUAAUCCAUCAAGAACAAGAACAGAGGAGAAACAGGAGAUGACUAAGGUUAUCUGCAGUCAUAAGGGUGGGGCCCCAAGCAACAGGACUGGGGCCCUGCCCAGAAGGGGAAGCGACACCCCACACCUGUCUCUGUGCGCUCAGAGCGAAGGCCGCGGAAGGACACAGGGAGAAGGUGGCGUUUCCUCCAAGCCAAGGAGAGGGGCUCAAGAGAAGCUCGCCAUGCCCACCCCUUGAUCUCGGACGCCAGGACCACACAACAGUGUCUGUGGUUUAAGCCACCCAGCUCGUGGCAGCCCCAGCGGAUGGAUACCGCGUGGACAGAUCAGGGAUCAAAACCCACCACCUCUACUUUCAGCCCCUCUCUAGGGCUGUAAUCAACAUUUCCUAUGGUUUUUGUAACAAAUGACCACAGCCAUAGGGGCUUAAAACGUCACAAGCGUAUUACCUUACAGCGUUGAGGCCAGGAGUCUAACACAGGUCUCAGGGCUAAAGUCAGGGGCUGCGUUUGUCCUGGAGGCUCCCAGGGAGACUCUUCCCUUGUCUUUUUCAGCUUCCGGAGGCGCCUGUAUUCCCGGGAUGCCGGCCCCAUCCUCCAUCUUCCAAUCUCUCUCUGACGCUCCUGCCUCCUCCUUUAAUUAUAAGGACCCUCCCGAUUCCACGGAGCUCACCUGGUUAAUCUAGGCUCAUCCCGCCCGCUCAGGCUCACCUGAGUCGCAACCCUGCGUCUACCUGCAACUUCACUUACCGCUUGCAAUGUAACAGUCACAAGCUUUGGGACUUAGGAAGUGGCCAACUUGGGGGUGGGGUUUAUUCUACUUAUCACAGCCGGCAAGGGGGUCCCCUCACCGCAAGAGCUGCCAUGUGGUCUUGCAAAGGCGGUGUUUCCCCGCUGGGCUCUAAUUUCGUCCUCCAAUCUGGAUAAGAACCCUCUUCCAUCCUUUCAGGCAAUUUUGAGCAAUUGGUGAAAUAAAAAUAGGUCAUGGGGAGUUCCCACUGUGGCAUGGUGGGUUAAGAACCUGACUGCAGCAGCUCGGGUUCCUGAAGAGGAGUAGGUUGGAUUUGAGGGCUGGUGCUGUUGUUUAAAGAAGGAUCUGGAAUUGCCACAGCUGUGACAUAGGUCAAAACUGUGGCUCAGAUUCAAUCCCUGGCCUGGGCAUUUCCAUAAGCCGAGAGUGCAGCCAUAAAAGAAAAGAAAAUGGGAGUUCCCUUCGUGGCUCAGUGGUUAACGAACAUGACUAGGAACCAUGAGGACGCGGGUUCGACCCCCGGCCUUGCUUUGUGGGCUAGGGAUCUGGUGUUGCUGUGAGCUGCGGUGUGGGUGGCAGAUGUGGCUCAGAUCCUGCAUUGCUGUGGUGUAGGCCACCAGUUGUAGAUCUGAUUCGACCCCUAGCCUGUGAACUUCAGAUGCCACAGGUGCGGCCCUAAAAAG